Molecule: non-coding RNA, 245 nt
Filed under: Pessonella sp. PRA-29
Lineage: Eukaryota; Discosea; Flabellinia; Vannellidae
Source: RNAcentral
GGUAUAUGAUUGUACCGAUCCAGAAUCUUUUCAAAAUGUCAAACAAUGGAUGGGUGAAAUCGAUCGGUACGCGUGUGAGAAUGUGAAUAAGUUGUUGGUUGGUAAUAAGUGCGACCUGCGCGACGAGAAGCGCGUCGAUUCGCGAGUAGCGCAAGAAUUUGCCGACCAGGUCGAAGUGCCGUUUAUUGAGACAAGUGCGAAAACCGCACAAAACGUCGAAGAGACGUUUGUACUGAUGGCACGAG